AAAAAAAAAGUAAAAUACAAAGAUUACUAUGCAAAAAC
This 38-nucleotide small RNA is filed under the name Arabidopsis thaliana (thale cress). Its description in RNAcentral is "ATSL152250". Lineage: Eukaryota; Viridiplantae; Streptophyta; Magnoliopsida; Brassicales; Brassicaceae. The record is from RNAcentral.